AUCGAACGCUAGCGGCAUGCCUAACACAUGCAAGUCGAACGGCAGCACGGGGAGCUUGCUCUCUGGUGGCGAGUGGCGAACGGGUGAGUAACGCGUAGGAAUCUGCCUAGUAGUGGGGGACAACUCGAGGAAACUCGAGCUAAUACCGCAUAAUCUCUACGGAGCAAAGUGGGGGACCUUCGGGCCUCACGCUAUUAGAUGAGCCUGCGUCAGAUUAGAUUGUUGGUGGGGUAAUGGCCUACCAAGUCGACGAUCUGUAGCUGGUCUGAGAGGAUGACCAGCAACACUGGGACUGAGACACGGCCCAGACUCCUACGGGAGGCAGCAGUGGGGAAUAUUGGACAAUGGGCGAAAGCCUGAUCCAGCAAUGCCGCGUGUGUGAAGAAGGCCUUAGGGUUGUAAAGCACUUUCGAUAGGAAAGAAAAAGCCAAAGGUAAUAUCUUUGGAAAUUGACGCUACCUAUAGAAGAAGCACUGGCUAACUCUGUGCCAGCCGCCGCAGUAA
RNAcentral lists this ribosomal RNA (504 nucleotides) under uncultured bacterium. Its description in RNAcentral is "partial 16S ribosomal RNA". It matches the Rfam family "Bacterial small subunit ribosomal RNA", at positions 30 to 523 of the family's 1533-position model. The record is from RNAcentral.